UAAGGCUCCUUCCUGUGCUUGCAGGGGAGAAAUACGAACUGCACGCAGGAACCGAGUCCACC
This 62-nucleotide microRNA precursor is filed under the name Rattus norvegicus (Norway rat). RNAcentral's name for it is "Rno-Mir-700_pre stem-loop". Lineage: Eukaryota; Metazoa; Chordata; Mammalia; Rodentia; Muridae. The record is from RNAcentral.